This 522-nucleotide ribosomal RNA is filed under the name uncultured bacterium. RNAcentral's name for it is "bacterial SSU rRNA". It matches the Rfam family "Bacterial small subunit ribosomal RNA", at positions 8 to 521 of the family's 1533-position model. The record is from RNAcentral.
AGAGUUUGAUCCUGGCUCAGAUUGAACGCUGGCGGCAGGCCUAACACAUGCAAGUCGAACGGUAGCACAGAGAGCUUGCUCUCGGGUGACGAGUGGCGGACGGGUGAGUAAUGUCUGGGAAACUGCCUGAUGGAGGGGGAUAACUACUGGAAACGGUAGCUAAUACCGCAUAACGUCGCAAGACCAAAGAGGGGGACCUUCGGGCCUCUUGCCAUCAGAUGUGCCCAGAUGGGAUUAGCUAGUAGGUGGGGUAACGGCUCACCUAGGCGACGAUCCCUAGCUGGUCUGAGAGGAUGACCAGCCACACUGGAACUGAGACACGGUCCAGACUCCUACGGGAGGCAGCAGUGGGGAAUAUUGCACAAUGGGCGCAAGCCUGAUGCAGCCAUGCCGCGUGUAUGAAGAAGGCCUUCGGGUUGUAAAGUACUUUCAGCGGGGAGGAAGGUGUUGUGGUUAAUAACCGCAGCAAUUGACGUUACCCGCAGAAGAAGCACCGGCUAACUCCGUGCCAGCAGGCGCGGU